RNAcentral lists this long non-coding RNA (653 nucleotides) under Homo sapiens (human). Its description in RNAcentral is "TM4SF18 antisense RNA 1 (TM4SF18-AS1)". Lineage: Eukaryota; Metazoa; Chordata; Mammalia; Primates; Hominidae. The record is from RNAcentral.
GGCAACCUGCUUGGGUCCCUUUCCACACCGCGGAAGCUUUGUUCUUUUGCUCUUUGCAAUAAAUCUUGCUGCUGCUCACUCUUUGGGUCCACACUGCCUUUAUGAGCUGUAACACCGCGAAGGUCCACAGCUUCACUCCUGAGCCAGCGAGACCACGAACCCCACCAGAAGGAAGAAUCUGUGAACACAUCCGAACAUCAGAAGGAACAAACUCUAGACAUGCCGCCUUUAAGAACUGCAACACUCACUGCGAGUGUCCGCGGCUUCAUUCUUGAAGUCAGUGAGACGAAGAACCCACCAAUUCCAGACACAUUUUGGCGACCUAGAUGGGACAAUCGCCUAUCACCGAGUGGUGAGACCAUCGCCUAUAGCUGAGCGGCGAGACAAUCACCUAUCGCCAAGCAAUUACCUACCACUUCCAGGGUCAGAGCCCUUCACUUCAUAUUCAUGAGGAGACGGGGAAUUGGAAUAUACCCGCAGCCGACAAUCUCAGUGUGAAAUACUGGUUUACUGUUUGGAGAACAAUAGACAAUGAUCAACAACUGAAGAGCUGAGCUGGUCUUCAUCCUGUGCCAAAGGAAUGCGGUGUUUUUCACUGCUUUUUAAAAUAAGUAAUUUUCCUCUGGAUUAAAGCACCGAAGGCUUAACCCUGA